Molecule: unclassified non-coding RNA, 173 nt
Filed under: uncultured Basidiobolus
Lineage: Eukaryota; Fungi; Basidiobolomycota; Basidiobolomycetes; Basidiobolales; Basidiobolaceae
Description: sequence contains ITS1
Source: RNAcentral
ACAAAUGUAAUCCAAUUACCAACCACACUGUGCACUGUUAACGUAUGCUUUGGUAGGGAGUGAAAUGGCGGGUGCUCUCGGGCGCCGGUCUUUCGAUCUGCCAGAGUUUUUUAAAUACUAAACAAACAAACGUCUUAUUAUCUGACCGAACUUCAUUUAAACAAACGAAAAUA